Molecule: long non-coding RNA, 187 nt
Organism: Coffea arabica (coffee)
Lineage: Eukaryota; Viridiplantae; Streptophyta; Magnoliopsida; Gentianales; Rubiaceae
Source: RefSeq, a predicted model, not a curated record
CUGGCUUUUAGAUAUUUAUUUACUUGGUGUUUUGUUGUUCCCUUUUUCGUUCUUGCCUUUCUUGGAUUUUUCUGGAGCUGGGAGAAAAAAUGGCCACCCGUGAAAAACAACUGGAAGGAAUAUGAAGACUUGAAGUUGACAUCUCUAAGAAGUAGUUAAAGCUGGAAAUGACCAUACUUCGGGUUUU